Molecule: ribosomal RNA, 483 nt
Filed under: uncultured bacterium
Lineage: Bacteria
Description: bacterial SSU rRNA
Rfam family: Bacterial small subunit ribosomal RNA
Source: RNAcentral
AGUGAACGCUGGCGGCGUGCUUAACACAUGCAAGUCGAACGAGAACGGGUUAUAGCUUGCUAUAAUUGUCAGCUAAGUGGCGCACGGGUGAGUAAUGUAUAGGUAAUAUGCCUCUUACUAAGGGAUAACAAAUGGAAACGUUUGCUAAUACCUUAUACUCCUUAUUAACUAAAGUUGGUAAGGGAAAGAUUUAUUGGUAAGAGAUUGGCCUGUAUUGUAUCAGUUAGUUGGUGGGGUAAUGGCCUACCAAGACUAUGACGCAUAACUGGUUUGAGAGGAUGAUCAGUCACACUGGAACUGAGACACGGUCCAGACUCCUACGGGAGGCAGCAGUGGGGAAUAUUGCACAAUGGACGAAAGUCUGAUGCAGCAACGCCGCGUGGAGGAUGACACAUUUCGGUGCGUAAACUCCUUUUUAUAUAAGAAGAUAAUGACGGUAUUAUAUGAAUAAGCACCGGCUAACUCCGUGCCAGCAGCCGCGGU